RNAcentral lists this unclassified non-coding RNA (343 nucleotides) under uncultured fungus. RNAcentral describes it as "sequence contains ITS1". Lineage: Eukaryota; Fungi. The record is from RNAcentral.
UUUUUUCAUUAAUUUUUAUCGUCACCAGAGAGAAUAAACUCAGUGGGUAUUCGAAUUUAUGAGAAUUGCAAUCAGAGUUACAUUAAAAAUGUGACUAGGUUUUGUUUUGGGGUUUCUAGUGGGGAGUGCUAGACGCCGGGUUAGCGGCAGUCCAACACCCACACACUAAAAGUUUAUUUCCUGGGGACGCAAGGGUUAGACUUGGGAUGUUUUACCAUCCCGCAUCCUUCUCUUGUUUUUUGCCUUGUCAGUCUGGGAUACCUGAGCCGAAGCCCGGGUACCCAGGGUCUGUCAAGAGAAAAGAGGUGUGGUAAUGAUCCUUCCGCAGGUUCACCUACGGAAA